UGGGAGUCGGGACGAGACAAAUCAAAUUUUGUCACAUACACAUGGUUAGCAGAUGUUAAUGCGAGUGUAGCCAAAUGCUUGUGCUUCUAGUUCCGACCAUGCAGUAAUAUCUAACAAGUAAUCUAACAGACAGGCAGGCAGCGGUUCUCAGCCAGUAGAUAUCAUGAAUCAGCUGGCAUCAUUUUUAUGGAUAUAUACAAAGAAAUGUCAAUUGAAAAAUGGUCAAAUGAAUCAAAGUGCAGCUAGUUUGCAGUCUUUCCAGCUUCAGUUUGAAGAUAUUGUGUUAGCUGAAGUGUUGGUUAGCUCCUCUGAACAACAGUGUCCUGACGAGUGAGCACAUUUUCUAUGCCAGGCGAAAUCGUGCCUCAUUAGCUCAUUGUUAUGCAUGUAUCCAAAUAUAUGUCACUAGAAAACAACUUAUGCAAAUGCAGCUACUUUGCUGUUAUUCUGCCUGCACUUUUUGACGUGACUGUAAGUUAGCCGUAGUUGGCUAGCAAGCAAGGGAGAAGAAGUUGCCAGCCAGUAUGGCAAUGGAACAUUUAGAAUGAACGACUAACACACAUCUAUAGAUGCAGAACAAAAAGACUGAACGACUGGGUCAAGUCUCUGGCAACCGAACCGAUAGAACCAACAACGAGCUUGCUUGGGUAGCAACCUCAGAUUUGUGCCGCGACUAUAUCUUUUGGAAGGAUGAAAUGACCUGAUCCCACCAGAUGUGUGUGUAACCUGCUCAACACCUCCACUAUCUAUGCAAACAAUGAGUAUCCUGAAGGUAUCCGCCUAUAUUACUACAUCCCAAACUUCGCUGCACAGGGCCUUCACUAUGAUAUUCAAAAGGGCCUCCUGAUGAAGAUCGAUGCUUUCCAUUACAUUCAGCUGGGGACUGUGUAUCAGUGAGUUCUGGUUAUGGGGGGCUGAACCCAGUUCCAGAUGAGGUCCUGAGGCUCUAUGGGGCUACCCACCAUGUCCCCCUACACCAGAUCAGCGAAUUCUACGGACAGACUACAUAAACAUAAAUGGAUCUCAAAGUGAAGCAGUUCAUGAACAUCUUCUCCAUCCCAGAGAUGACCCUCCUAGCUGUGGCCAAUGAUUUCUUCAUCUCCAACGACAUUGAGUACGAUCCUGAGCACCUCAUCAAAGAUGUCUCAGUGAAUGUCUCAGCACACUUGAUUAAUGCAAUGAUUCAGAAAUGUGUGGCUAUUUUAAAAGUCUUUAAUUUUUACUCUGGCUAACAGAGUAAAAAUGCUGUCUUCUGGUGUUAAGGUCAUUCUUGCAGGGACAUGUGGUGUGGGAGAUCAUGUCUUUACACUGUACCACUCAGAGGGGAGGUAUGUGGUGUAGAUGUCUCCCACACAACCUCUGGAAGGAUCUGAAUCUAGAUCUGUCUCUUUAUGCAGUAUCUCUCCUGGACCUAGUUUGUGUCGUCAAAGUAGUGUAGUGUAAAGAGGCCCUAACUCUGGUGAACAAAAGACUAUUAUAUUUUAUGAUAUUCUUUCACUCACUAAUUAAACCUUGGUACAUACUGUCCUUUACAUGCUAUUCUCCCUCUUCUAGGACCAUGUCCCCUUUUUUCAGACUAAGAACAAAGAACCUGUUCAACAUGGCCUCCAUCAGCUGUCUGCUAAAUUACGAUCACUCCUAUACCUUCUACCCCCUAUGCAUCCCUCUGCAGCAUAAGGUGCCCCUGUGGCUGCAUGAAGACCCCUUUCCUAGAGGAGAUGGCCCACAUCCGCUGAGCCAACAAUGGGUUGUCAUGCUGGUUUCUCCUCGCUGGGUUCUCAACAUGGACAUUCACAAAACAGCCCACCAGAGGGCACUGUAGAUCAGUAUUAUUCAGAGAAUAAGCUUAGGUUAUUACUAUUUCUGUAACUGAAUACUGUGAGUAGUAUCAUGGCCUAUAUAGGAGUUACUCUCUGGCAGAUCUAAGUGAACCAAUAAUAGACAUGCACUUCAGAAACCUUUAACUUAAACACCCUUCAUUGUACAUGUUAGUUAUUAACUAAUUGGUCAUACACCCAUCCCUGUGAGACUGGCAAACAAAAUAUCUGGUUGCAUUUGAUGACCAGCAUGCAAAGACCGAUGCAGCAUGUGCCCAUCAUGGACACAUGUCUAUUUCGUGAUGAAAACAUAGCACGUACUGUAUGUUAACGAUGUAUGUUCAAAAUACUGUAGCUGCUUUUAAAAUAGAAUAUGACAAAAUGUAAACAAUUUUGUCACUGUUGUAACUUUUUUCAUUUGUCAUGAUGUUGCAUGUGUAGCCUAUUGAUUGUUG
Molecule: long non-coding RNA, 2272 nt
Filed under: Salmo salar (Atlantic salmon)
Lineage: Eukaryota; Metazoa; Chordata; Actinopteri; Salmoniformes; Salmonidae
Description: lncRNA (ENSSSAG00000117275.1)
Source: RNAcentral